UACCAAUAAGAGUAUGGAACUUUAAAGCAAAAAUCAUAUACAAAGAAAGGAGAUUACUUUUUCUUCUUUUAAUAUUGCCAAAGAGACUACCUUAGCUCUAUAAAACUGCCCCACAGCUGGACUGUACGUGUGUAAGGUGCACGUAGCAAGGAGUAAGCUUUUUUAAGGUAACCAUCUAUGUGGAAACAGGUGAAGAAACAAAAGGAUUAGUAUAAGAAAAAUGUUGAAAGUGGACUCAUAGUUCAAUAUGAGAGAGGUGCCAAAUGAGUGAAAGAACCAGUUACAGAGAAGAAACAGUAGAGCCUGGGCAAGUUGCCUAAAGGAGCACUUAGGUUGACCUUCAUAUUGGAAUUGAAAAUGUGAAUUAUUUUCUCUUCAUUUUUUUUCUUCUGGAUUCUAACAAUAAAGACAGUCUUUAAACUUG
This is a long non-coding RNA of Canis lupus familiaris (dog), 424 nucleotides long. RefSeq lists it as uncharacterized. Lineage: Eukaryota; Metazoa; Chordata; Mammalia; Carnivora; Canidae. The transcript is spliced from 2 exons. The record is from RefSeq and is a predicted model, not a curated record.